AUUGAACGCUGGCGGCAGGCCUAACACAUGCAGGUCGAACGGUAACAGGAAGAAGCUUGCUUCUUUGCUGACGAGAGGCGGACGGGUGAGAAAUGUCUGGGAAACUGCCUGAUGGAGGGGGAUAACUACUGGAAACGGUAGCUAAUACCGCACAACGUCGCAAGACCAAAGAGGGGGAGAUUUGGGCCUCUUGCCAUCGGAUGUGCCCAGAUGGGAUUAGCUAGUAGGUGGGGUAACGGCUCACCCAGGCGACGAUCCCUAGCUGGUCUGAGAGGAUGACCAGCCACACUGGAACUGAGACACGGUCCAGACUCCUACGGGAGGCAGCAGUGGGGAAUAUUGGACAAUGGGCGCAAGCCUGAUGCAGCCAUGCCGCGUGUGUGAAGAAGGCCUUCGGGUUGUAAAGUACUUUCAGCGGGGAGGAAGGGAAGCAAGUUAAUACCUUUGCUUAUUGACGUUACCCACAGAAGAAGCACCGGCUAACUCCGUG
This 490-nucleotide ribosomal RNA is filed under the name uncultured bacterium. Its description in RNAcentral is "partial 16S ribosomal RNA". It matches the Rfam family "Bacterial small subunit ribosomal RNA", at positions 30 to 507 of the family's 1533-position model. The record is from RNAcentral.